CCUACGGGUGGCUGCAGUAGGGAAUAUUGGACAAUGGGGGAAACCCUGAUCCAGCGAUGCCGCGUGGAUGAUGAAGGCCUUCGGGUCGUAAAGUCCUUUUCUGAGGGAAGAACUGUUGGGCGAGGAAAUGCGCCUGAUUUGACGGUACCUCAGGAAUAAGCAACGGCUAACUCCGUGCCAGCAGCCGCGGUAAUACGGAGGUUGCAAGCGUUGUUCGGAAUAACUGGGCGUAAAGGGAGCGCAGGCGGCUUGGUAAGUCUAAAGUGAAAUUCCAGGGCUCAACCCUGGACGUGCUUUGGAUACUGCCUGGCUUGAGUACGUGAGAGGAGAUUGGAAUUCCAGGUGUAGCGGUGAAAUGCGUAGAUAUCUGGAGGAACACCGGUGGCGAAAGCGGAUCUCUGGCACGUUACUGACGCUGAGGCUCGAAAGCAUGGGGAGCAAACGGGAUUAGAUACCCGGGUAGUC
RNAcentral lists this ribosomal RNA (465 nucleotides) under uncultured bacterium. Its description in RNAcentral is "bacterial SSU rRNA". It matches the Rfam family "Bacterial small subunit ribosomal RNA", at positions 338 to 795 of the family's 1533-position model. The record is from RNAcentral.